GGCGGGAUGGCAGAGCUGGCUUAUAGCAUCCGACUUCUAAUCGGACGGGGUGUGUUAGUAGCACACCCCCAAGGGUUCGAAUCCCUUUCCCGCCG
This 95-nucleotide transfer RNA is filed under the name Gammaproteobacteria bacterium. RNAcentral describes it as "tRNA-Arg". It matches the Rfam family "tRNA". From Rfam's summary of the family: Transfer RNA (tRNA) molecules are approximately 80 nucleotides in length. Their secondary structure includes four short double-helical elements and three loops (D, anti-codon, and T loops). The record is from RNAcentral. Lineage: Bacteria; Pseudomonadati; Pseudomonadota; Gammaproteobacteria.